ACAACCCAAACCGUUAAAAUAUGGUGAGAGUAAACCCCUCGUAACAUAUUAGGGUUUAAGAUUUGGCGCCUUGAGCUGAAAUUUUGUACUUGGAGCUCGACCGAAUCAUGUGAUCGGGAAUCAGCGAGAGCCGAGGGAAAAUGGCAACAAUUGCUGCUUCAAGAAUCGGAUCGGUGAUACCUCGGCCAGUGACAAUUGUGACCGGCAACGCCAAGAAGCUUGAGGAAGUUCGAGCAAUCUUGGGGAGCGCUCUCUUCCUUUUUCGGUCUCUCAAGCUUGACUUUUCGGAGAUGCAAGGCGAACCGGAAGCUAUAUCGAAAGAGAAAGCUCGUUUGGCUGCUAUCUAGGGCCAUACAUGUAAGUUGCUACUUUAUCAAUUCCCCUGUUGAGGUGAAGUUUUGUUUAUUCUUAGCAUUUUGGUUGAAACAUUACGAUGAUGUCAUUGAUAGAUGGAUAUAUGUUCAAUAAAGUCUUAGAAGAAUUUAAUUGAAGGAUCCCUCUGAUUCUGAGGGAGAGAAGUGUAUUUCUUUGUCCAAGGAUGUUACAUGCUUGAAGAGAAGUAGGACUUGAUUUCCUUAAUUACCCAAACGAUAACUUUUGCCGCAUAAAAAUUGAUCUCUACUUCUUUUUCUGUAUCUCUUUAAUUUCAACAAAACUCAUUGAGAUCCAUCCACGAUUGUUUUCACAUGGAUCCCAAUUGAGUUUGCAUAAGAAGCAUACUUUAUGUCUUUAAUUCACUGAAACUCCUCUUAUUGGCAUAAAUACUGAGGUAGCACUCUGCUGGAUAGUUCUUUUUCCUUGGGGUGUAAUGUGGAAAAGCCGCCAUUUCUUAUUUGAGCAUCCCCGUUGGGAGGUAAUUUUUGCUAUAAAUCUUUUUUGGGAUCUAGUGAUGGAUAAAAGUCCGAAAGAAGAUUGUAAAGUGGAGUAGCUUAACUUUUUCGAAUGGUGGUCGGCUGGCGCUUGCUCAAUUGGUGAUUAAUAACCUCCCUUUUUAUUAUUUAUCCCUUUUUAAAUCUCCCAAGAGUGUUACUAAUAUGAUUGAAUGGAUGGUUAGGAACUUUUUUGUGGAAUGGGGGUUUAUCAAAGGGUUCUUGCAGCCAUCUCGUAAAUUGGGGGAAAACUUCCCUUACUUCUUCAUAAUGGUGGUUUCGGUGUUGGGGCGUUUUAACAGAAAACAGCCUGCUCCUCAAGUGGCUAUGGAGAUUUAACCAACAAGAGAAUGAUUUGUGGAAAAUGUUGGUUCCUAGUAUUUAUGGUAUUGGACUGGUUCGAAAUUGCAAAGA
Cucurbita maxima (winter squash) is the source of this 1283-nucleotide long non-coding RNA. RefSeq lists it as uncharacterized. NCBI's taxonomy places the organism in Eukaryota, Viridiplantae, Streptophyta, Magnoliopsida, Cucurbitales, Cucurbitaceae. The record is from RefSeq and is a predicted model, not a curated record. The transcript has 4 exons.